AUUUCGAUCUCGAUUGAUUCAUAGUAUUUAGGAUAACAAUCUUUGGAUAAUAUAUAAAUGAUAUGAUAUCCUUUAACUUUUGAGAUAGUUUUUAUGUUAAAUUAUACCAACAUUCCUAGUAUGGUAUAUAUAGACCUUAAAGUUUGUCCAACCGUUACUUUCCUAUAAAAAUGAUUUCUCACCUAUAUAUAAGUGGCAUGUUUUGUAGUAAAUUUAUCUGAAAUGUUAAGUUUAAAUUGUUUCUGUUGAAGCGUUUCCCAUAAACAUUUCGAAAAAACCUAUAAAAAUGUUCCACAUUUGGUUAGGAAAAUGAUCUUUUGGUAAUAUAUAAAUGAAUUGGUAAUCCUUAAUUAUUGAAGUAGUUAAGUUAGAA
RNAcentral lists this small RNA (373 nucleotides) under Arabidopsis thaliana (thale cress). RNAcentral describes it as "ATSL297120". Lineage: Eukaryota; Viridiplantae; Streptophyta; Magnoliopsida; Brassicales; Brassicaceae. The record is from RNAcentral.